RNAcentral lists this ribosomal RNA (270 nucleotides) under uncultured archaeon. RNAcentral describes it as "partial 16S ribosomal RNA". It matches the Rfam family "Archaeal small subunit ribosomal RNA", at positions 477 to 747 of the family's 1478-position model. The record is from RNAcentral.
CAGCACCUCAAGUGGUCAGGAUGAUUAUUGGGCCUAAAGCAUCCGUAGCCGGCGCUGUAAAUUUUCGGUUAAAUCUGUACGCUCAACGUACAGGCUGCCGGGAAUACUGCAGCGCUAGGGAGUGGGAGAGGUAGACGGUACUCGGUAGGAAGGGGUAAAAUCCUUUGAUCUAUUGAUGACCACCUGUGGCGAAGGCGGUCUACCAGAACACGUCCGACGGUGAGGGAUGAAAGCUGGGGGAGCAAACCGGAUUAGAUACCCGUGUAGUCC